GAAGCUCUGGUGUUCUUGUUCAAAUGAUCCAUUGUUGGAAAACUUGGAGUUUUUUGAGAAAUUUUGAAGAAAAAAAUGUUCUUAGAGUAAAGUUUCAGAAAAAAAUGUUGGGAAAGUUGAGGAAAGAAGGAAGAAAUGUUAUUUAUAGUGGAGGAAUAAAAGACUCUUCAUUCUUCACAAGUAAACAAGUGGUGCGGAGCAAGUGGCACAUGGCAUCUCCCCAGAGGAAGGAUUGAAGCGACCUACUACACAUAGCCGAACUACCCCGCG
RNAcentral lists this long non-coding RNA (270 nucleotides) under Lathyrus oleraceus (garden pea). RNAcentral's name for it is "Pisum sativum (pea) long non-coding RNA (PSAT_LNC024341)". Lineage: Eukaryota; Viridiplantae; Streptophyta; Magnoliopsida; Fabales; Fabaceae. The record is from RNAcentral.